This 633-nucleotide ribosomal RNA is filed under the name uncultured Ralstonia sp. RNAcentral describes it as "bacterial SSU rRNA". It matches the Rfam family "Bacterial small subunit ribosomal RNA", at positions 870 to 1504 of the family's 1533-position model. Lineage: Bacteria; Pseudomonadati; Pseudomonadota; Betaproteobacteria; Burkholderiales; Burkholderiaceae. The record is from RNAcentral.
CGCCUGGGGAGUGCGGUCGCAAGAUUAAAACUCAAAGGAAUUGACGGGGACCCGCACAAGCGGUGGAUGAUGUGGAUUAAUUCGAUGCAACGCGAAAAACCUUACCUACCCUUGACAUGCCACUAACGAAGCAGAGAUGCAUUAGGUGCUCGAAAGAGAAAGUGGACACAGGUGCUGCAUGGCUGUCGUCAGCUCGUGUCGUGAGAUGUUGGGUUAAGUCCCGCAACGAGCGCAACCCUUGUCUCUAGUUGCUACGAAAGGGCACUCUAGAGAGACUGCCGGUGACAAACCGGAGGAAGGUGGGGAUGACGUCAAGUCCUCAUGGCCCUUAUGGGUAGGGCUUCACACGUCAUACAAUGGUGCAUACAGAGGGUUGCCAAGCCGCGAGGUGGAGCUAAUCCCAGAAAAUGCAUCGUAGUCCGGAUCGUAGUCUGCAACUCGACUACGUGAAGCUGGAAUCGCUAGUAAUCGCGGAUCAGCAUGCCGCAGUGAAUACGUUCCCGGGUCUUGUACACACCGCCCGUCACACCAUGGGAGUGGGCUUUACCAGAAGUAGUUAGCCUAAACCGCAAGGAGGGCGAUUACCACGGUAGGGUUCAUGACUGGGGUGGAAGUCGUAACAAGGUAACCGUA